AACGCUAGCUACAGGCUUAACACAUGCAAGUCGGGGGGUAGCAGGGUAGCAAUACCGCUGACGACCGGCGCACGGGUGAGUAACGCGUAUCCAACCUGCCCAUCACUUGGGGAUAACCUUGCGAAAGUAAGACUAAUACCCAAUGAUAUCUCUAGAAGACAUCUGAAGGAGAUUAAAGAUUUAUCGGUGAUGGAUGGGGAUGCGUCUGAUUAGUUUGUUGGCGGGGUAACGGCCCACCAAGGCUACGAUCAGUAGGGGUUCUGAGAGGAAGGUCCCCCACAUUGGAACUGAGACACGGUCCAAACUCCUACGGGAGGCAGCAGUGAGGAAUAUUGGUCAAUGGGCGAGAGCCUGAACCAGCCAAGUAGCGUGCAGGAUGACGGCCCUAUGGGUUGUAAACUGCUUUUAUAAGGGAAUAAAGUGAGCCUCGUGAGGCUUUUUGCAUGUACCUUAUGAAUAAGGACCGGCUAAUUCCGUGCCAGCAGCCGCGGUAAUACGGAAGGUCCGGGCGUUAUCCGGAUUUAUUGGGUUUAAAGGGAGCGUAGGCCGGAGAUUAAGCGUGUUGUGAAAUGUAGAUGCUCAACAUCUGCACUGCAGCGCGAACUGGUUUCCUUGAGUACGCACAAAGUGGGCGGAAUUCGUGGUGUAGCGGUGAAAUGCUUAGAUAUCACGAAGAACUCCGAUUG
Molecule: ribosomal RNA, 686 nt
Filed under: uncultured bacterium
Lineage: Bacteria
Description: bacterial SSU rRNA
Rfam family: Bacterial small subunit ribosomal RNA
Source: RNAcentral